AUUGAACGCUGGCGGCAUGCCUUACACAUGCAAGUCGAACGGCAGCACGGGUGCUUGCCCCUGGUGGCGAGUGGCGAACGGGUGAGUAUUACAUCGGAACAUGUCCUGUAGUGGGGGAUAGCCCGGCGAAAGCCGGAUUAAUACCGCAUACGAUCUACGGAUGAAAGCGGGGGACCUUCGGGCCUCGCGCUAUAGGGUUGGCCGAUAGCUGAUUAGCUAGUUGGUGGGGUAAAGGCCUACCAAGGCGACGAUCAGUAGCUGGUCUGAGAGGACGACCAGCCACACUGGGACUGAGACACGGCCCAGACUCCUACGGGAGGCAGCAGUGGGGAAUUUUGGACAAUGGGCGAAAGCCUGAUCCAGCAAUGCCGCGUGUGUGAAGAAGGCCUUCGGGUUGUAAAGCACUUUUGUCCGGAAAGAAAUCCUUGGCUCUAAUACAGUCGGGGGAUGACGGUACCGGAAGAAUAAGCACCGGCUAACUACGUG
This 486-nucleotide ribosomal RNA is filed under the name uncultured bacterium. RNAcentral's name for it is "partial 16S ribosomal RNA". It matches the Rfam family "Bacterial small subunit ribosomal RNA", at positions 30 to 507 of the family's 1533-position model. The record is from RNAcentral.